This 225-nucleotide ribosomal RNA is filed under the name uncultured Gemmatimonas sp. RNAcentral describes it as "partial 16S ribosomal RNA". It matches the Rfam family "Bacterial small subunit ribosomal RNA", at positions 568 to 792 of the family's 1533-position model. Lineage: Bacteria; Pseudomonadati; Gemmatimonadota; Gemmatimonadia; Gemmatimonadales; Gemmatimonadaceae. The record is from RNAcentral.
CGCGUAGGCGGUCUGCUAAGCGUGUGGUGAAAGCUCGGGGCUCAACCCCGCGUCGGCCAUGCGAACUGGUGGACUUGAGCACUGUAGAGGCAGGUGGAAUUCCGGGUGUAGCGGUGGAAUGCGUAGAGAUCCGGAAGAACACCGGUGGCGAAGGCGGCCUGCUGGGCAGUAGCUGACGCUCAGGUGCGAAAGCGUGGGGAGCAAACAGGAUUAGAUACCCCGGUA